GGCGGACGGGUGAGUAAUACUUAGGAAUCUGCCCAUUAGUGGGGGACAACAUUCGGAAACGGAUGCUAAUACCGCAUACGCCCUACGGGGGAAAGCGGGGGAUCUUCGGACCUCGCGCUAAUGGAUGAGCCUAAGUCGGAUUAGCUUGUUGGUGAGGUAAUGGCUCACCAAGGCGACGAUCCGUAGCUGGUCUGAGAGGACGAUCAGCCACACUGGGGCUGAGACACGGCCCAG
RNAcentral lists this ribosomal RNA (234 nucleotides) under uncultured bacterium. RNAcentral's name for it is "partial 16S ribosomal RNA". It matches the Rfam family "Bacterial small subunit ribosomal RNA", at positions 97 to 334 of the family's 1533-position model. The record is from RNAcentral.